AUGGGAACCUUACAUUCCUGCAUCAAAGAGGCAAUAAGAAUGCAUUCUCCAUCAGCAAUGGUAAUGCGCCACGUGAAGAAGAACUUCACUGUACAAACAAGAGAAGGCUACAGCUAUGAAAUUCCAGAAGGGCAUACCGUAGCUACCUCCAUAGUGGUUGGCAACCAGCUACCACAUAUUUAUAAAGACCCUCAUGUAUAUGACCCGUACCGUUUUGGUCCAGGGAGAGAGGAGGACAAAGCUGGCGGCAAGUUUGCAUUCACAUCAUUUGGUGGUGGGAGGCAUGCUUGCUUCGGGGAGGAAUAUUCUUACAUGCAAAUUAAAGUGAUAUGGAGUUUUUUGCUGAGGAACUUUGAGCUCAAAAUGAUUUCGCCUUUUCCAGAGGAAGAAAUUGAUAAAUUCAUACCAGGGCCUAAAGGAAGAGUGAUGGUCAGUUACAAGAGGCGACUUCUUGUCAGUACCUAG
RNAcentral lists this ribosomal RNA (465 nucleotides) under Triticum aestivum (bread wheat). RNAcentral's name for it is "partial small subunit ribosomal RNA". The record is from RNAcentral. Lineage: Eukaryota; Viridiplantae; Streptophyta; Magnoliopsida; Poales; Poaceae.